This 531-nucleotide ribosomal RNA is filed under the name Codinaeopsis sp. XL-B31. RNAcentral's name for it is "eukaryotic LSU rRNA". The stretch from base 212 to 365 matches the Rfam family "5.8S ribosomal RNA". Lineage: Eukaryota; Fungi; Ascomycota; Sordariomycetes; Chaetosphaeriales; Chaetosphaeriaceae. The record is from RNAcentral.
UGUAACAAGGUCUCCGUUGGUGAACCAGCGGAGGGAUCAUUACAGGACUCGCAAGACUCCCGUAAACCACUGUGAACUUACCUACAACCCGUUGCCUCGGCGGGUGCUCCGGGCGCGUCUUCGGGCGCUCCGGGGCGCUCCAGCCCGCCGGCGGCCCCUAAACUGUGUCUCUGUAACGUUGGCAUCUCCGAGCAGACUAUAAACGAGUCAAAACUUUCAACAACGGAUCUCUUGGUUCUGGCAUCGAUGAAGAACGCAGCGAAAUGCGAUAAGUAAUGUGAAUUGCAGAAUUCAGUGAAUCAUCGAAUCUUUGAACGCACAUUGCGCCCGCCAGCACUCUGGCGGGCAUGCCUGUCCGAGCGUCAUUUCAACCCUCAGGCCCCGCCUGGCGUUGGAGCCCUGCGCAGCGCAGGCUCCCAAAGACAGCGGCGGGCGCGCCCCGGAACCGAGAGCAGUAAUGCUUUCUCGUUCUGGUCCGGCGCGCGCUCCGGCCGUAAAACCCCCAACUUUCUAAGUGGUUGACCUCGGAUC